RNAcentral lists this ribosomal RNA (367 nucleotides) under uncultured organism. RNAcentral describes it as "bacterial LSU rRNA". It matches the Rfam family "Bacterial large subunit ribosomal RNA", at positions 2099 to 2465 of the family's 2925-position model. The record is from RNAcentral.
CUUGACUGUAUCCUGGAAUUGGGUUCGGGCUUUUCUUGCGCAGUCUAGGUGGGAGGCUAUGAAGAUUUCCUUCCGGGGAAGUUGGAGCCAUCAGUGAGAGACCACUCUGGAGAGGCUAGAAUCCUAAUGGUGAUCCUUGAAUCAGGACACUUGACAGUUUCAGGUGGGCAGUUUUUCUGGGGCGGAAGCCUCAUAAAGGGCAACUGAGGCGCGCAAAGGUCCCCUCAGUCUGGACGGAAAUCAGACAACGAGUGUAAAGGCAAAGGGGGCUCGACUGCAAGACCUACAAGUCGAGCAGGAGCGAAAGCUGGCCUUAGUGAUCCGACGGUACCGCGUGGAAGGGCCGUCGCUCAACGAAUAAAAGUUA